RNAcentral lists this ribosomal RNA (482 nucleotides) under uncultured bacterium. Its description in RNAcentral is "partial 16S ribosomal RNA". It matches the Rfam family "Bacterial small subunit ribosomal RNA", at positions 30 to 507 of the family's 1533-position model. The record is from RNAcentral.
AUUGAACGCUGGCGGCAUGCCUUACACAUGCAAGUCGAACGGUAACAGGUCUUCGGAUGCUGACGAGUGGCGAACGGGUGAGUAAUACAUCGGAACGUGCCCGAUCGUGGGGGAUAACGGAGCGAAAGCUUUGCUAAUACCGCAUACGAUCUACGGAUGAAAGCAGGGGACCGCAAGGCCUUGCGCGGACGGAGCGGCCGAUGGCAGAUUAGGUAGUUGGUGGGAUAAAAGCUUACCAAGCCGACGAUCUGUAGCUGGUCUGAGAGGACGACCAGCCACACUGGGACUGAGACACGGCCCAGACUCCUACGGGAGGCAGCAGUGGGGAAUUUUGGACAAUGGGCGAAAGCCUGAUCCAGCCAUGCCGCGUGCAGGAUGAAGGCCUUCGGGUUGUAAACUGCUUUUGUACGGAACGAAAAGACUCUUUCUAAUAAAGAGGGUCCAUGACGGUACCGCAAGAAUAAGCACCGGCUAACUACGUG